ACGGAGGGUGCGAGCGUUAUUCGGAUUCACUGGGUUUAAAGCGCGCGUAGGCGGGCUUUUAAGUCAGACGUGAAAUCCCUGAGCUUAACCUGGAAACUGCGGUCGAUACUGGAGGACUUGAGUCCUCGAGAGGUAAGCGGAAUACCUCGUGUAGCAGUGAAAUGCGUAGAUAUGAGGAGGAACACCAAUUGCGAAGGCAGCCAACUGGAUAGAAACUGACGCUGAGGCGCGAAAGCGUGGGGAGCAAACAG
Molecule: ribosomal RNA, 251 nt
Filed under: uncultured prokaryote
Description: partial 16S rRNA
Rfam family: Bacterial small subunit ribosomal RNA
Source: RNAcentral